AGUUAGGAAUAUUGGACAAUGGGGGCAACCCUGAUCCAGCCAUGCCGCGUGUGUGAUGAAGGCCUUAGGGUUGUAAAGCACUUUCGGCUGUGAAGAUAAUGACAGUAGCAGAAGAAGAAGCUCCGGCUAAAUUCGUGCCAGCAGCCGCGGUAAUACGAAUGGAGCGAGCGUUGUUCGGAAUCACUGGGCGUAAAGGGUGCGCAGGCGGUCAUGAAAGUCAGAAGUGAAAUCCCAGGGCUUAACCCUGGAAUUGCUUUUGAAACUCCAUGACUAGAGUAUUGGAGAGGUUAGCGGAAUUCCGAGUGUAGCAGUGAAAUGCGUAGAUAUUCGGAGGAACACCAAUGGCGUAGGCAGCUAGCUGGACAAUUACUGACGCUCAGGCACGAAAGCGUGGGGAUCAAA
Molecule: ribosomal RNA, 402 nt
Filed under: uncultured Alphaproteobacteria bacterium
Lineage: Bacteria; Pseudomonadati; Pseudomonadota; Alphaproteobacteria
Description: bacterial SSU rRNA
Rfam family: Bacterial small subunit ribosomal RNA
Source: RNAcentral